Molecule: ribosomal RNA, 301 nt
Filed under: uncultured bacterium
Lineage: Bacteria
Description: partial 16S ribosomal RNA
Rfam family: Bacterial small subunit ribosomal RNA
Source: RNAcentral
CAGUCGGCCGCGGUAAAACGGAGGGUGCGAGCGUUAAUCGGAACAACUGGGCGUAAAGGGCACGCAGGCGGUGACUUAAGUGAGGUGUGAAAGCCCCGGGCUUAACCUGGGAAUUGCAUUUCAUACUGGGUCGCUAGAGUACUUUAGGGAGGGGUAGAAUUCCACGUGUAGCGGUGAAAUGCGUAGAGGUGUGGAGGAAUACCGAAGGCGAAGGCAGCCCCUUGGGAAUGUACUGACGCUCAUGUGCGAAAGCGUGGGGAGCAAACAGGAUUAGAUACCCCAGUAGUCCCUGUCUCUUAUA